CCUACGGGGCGCAGCAGUGAGGAAUAUUGGUCAAUGGACGCAAGUCUGAACCAGCCAUGCCGCGUGCGGGAUGACGGCACAAUGAGUUGUAAACUUCUUUUGUCAGGGGGCAAAUGCGGGUACGUGUCUCCGGUUGAGAGUAUCUUACGAAUAAGGAUCGGCUAACUCCGUGCCAGCAGCCGCGGUAAUACGGAGGAUUCAAGCGUUAUCCGGAUUUAUUGGGUUUAAAGGGUGCGCAGGCGGUUCGUUAAGUUAGCGGUCAAAUCCCGGGGCUCAACCCCGGCCCGGCGUUUGA
This 295-nucleotide ribosomal RNA is filed under the name uncultured bacterium. RNAcentral's name for it is "partial 16S ribosomal RNA". It matches the Rfam family "Bacterial small subunit ribosomal RNA", at positions 338 to 630 of the family's 1533-position model. The record is from RNAcentral.